AUUGAACGCUGGCGGCAUGCCUUACACAUGCAAGUCGAACGGCAGCACGGGGGCAACCCUGGUGGCGAGUGGCGAACGGGUGAGUAACAUAUCGGAACAUACCCUAGAGUGGGGGAUAACGUAGCGAAAGUUACGCUAAUACCGCAUACGAUCUAAGGAUGAAAGUGGGGGAUCUUCGGACCUCAUGCUCAUGGAGUGGCCGAUAUCUGAUUAGCUAGUUGGUGAGGUAAAGGCUCACCAAGGCGACGAUCAGUAGCUGGUUUGAGAGAACGACCAGCCACACUGGAACUGAGACACGGUCCAGACUCCUACGGGAGGCAGCAGUGGGGAAUUUUGGACAAUGGGGGCAACCCUGAUCCAGCAAUGCCGCGUGAGUGAAGAAGGCCUUCGGGUUGUAAAGGCUCUUUUGUUCUAGGGAAGAAACGGU
RNAcentral lists this ribosomal RNA (427 nucleotides) under uncultured bacterium. Its description in RNAcentral is "bacterial SSU rRNA". It matches the Rfam family "Bacterial small subunit ribosomal RNA", at positions 30 to 454 of the family's 1533-position model. The record is from RNAcentral.